AAGAUUUUAGGUUAAUAAGACCAUGGGCCUUCAAAGCCUAAAGGGAAAGUAUGUUUCAAAUCUUG
Pomacea canaliculata is the source of this 65-nucleotide non-coding RNA. NCBI's taxonomy places the organism in Eukaryota, Metazoa, Mollusca, Gastropoda, Architaenioglossa, Ampullariidae. The record is from the annotation of a RefSeq genome assembly.